This is a long non-coding RNA of Bufo bufo (common toad), 574 nucleotides long. RefSeq lists it as uncharacterized. The transcript has 2 exons. Lineage: Eukaryota; Metazoa; Chordata; Amphibia; Anura; Bufonidae. The record is from RefSeq and is a predicted model, not a curated record.
UUUGCGGGGCCACAGAAUUUUGCAGACCCAUUGAAAUGAAUGGUUCCGUAUACAGAAUCAAAAUGCGGCCCGUAUACGGAACGCAAAAAACGUUUGUGUGAACAAGCCCUUAGUGCUUACUGAGUAGAAAGUUUUAGCAUCUGCCUAGAGGCGAAUCUUUAGGCCUCAUACACAUUUAUUUAUUUAUUAUACUCACUUAUAUAGCGCCGACAUAUUCCGCAGGGUUUUACAGACAUUAACACAAUCUAAGGUCCCUAUCAGUAUGUCUUUGGAGUGUGGGAAGAAACCGGAGAACCAGGAGGAAACCCACACAAAGACAGGGAGAACAUACAAACUCCAUGCAGAUGUUGUCCUUGGUCGGAUUCAAACCCAGGCCCCCAGCGCUGCAAGCAAGUAUGCAAGAGGCUACUGCGAACAUCGGUGCCUUCCCAAACAGCUGAUCAGCAAGGUCCCGGGUGUGAAACCCCCACUGAUCAGAUACUGAUGACCUAUCCAGGAGGAUAGGUCAUUGCUAUAAAAGUCUCAGAAUACCCCUUUACGGUCAAGGAUGUUUUUAUUUUACAGGUAGUGGUCA